Molecule: ribosomal RNA, 466 nt
Filed under: uncultured bacterium
Lineage: Bacteria
Description: bacterial SSU rRNA
Rfam family: Bacterial small subunit ribosomal RNA
Source: RNAcentral
GGCCAGCUCCUACGGGAGGCAGCAGUGAGGAAUAUUGGUCAAUGGCCGAGAGGCUGAACCAGCCAAGUCGCGUGAGGGAAGACGGCCCUACGGGUUGUAAACCUCUUUUGUCGGGGAGCAAAGCGAGUCACGUGUGACUCAUUGAGAGUACCCGAAGAAAAAGCAUCGGCUAACUCCGUGCCAGCAGCCGCGGUAAUACGGAGGAUGCGAGCGUUAUCCGGAUUUAUUGGGUUUAAAGGGUGCGCAGGCGGAGGUGCAAGUCAGCGGUCAAAUUGCGGGGCUCAACCUCGUCGUGCCGUUGAAACUGAUGUUCUUGAGUGGGCGAGAAGUAUGCGGAAUGCGUGGUGUAGCGGUGAAAUGCAUAGAUAUCACGCAGAACUCCGAUUGCGAAGGCAGCAUACCGGCGCCCAACUGACGCUGAAGCACGAAAGCGUGGGUAUCGAACAGGAUUAGAUACCCUCGUAAU